This 593-nucleotide ribosomal RNA is filed under the name Trichoderma pleuroti. Its description in RNAcentral is "eukaryotic LSU rRNA". The stretch from base 217 to 370 matches the Rfam family "5.8S ribosomal RNA". The record is from RNAcentral. Lineage: Eukaryota; Fungi; Ascomycota; Sordariomycetes; Hypocreales; Hypocreaceae.
GCGGAGGGAUCAUUACCGAGUUUACAACUCCCAAACCCAAUGUGAACGUUACCAAACUGUUGCCUCGGCGGGAUCUCUGCCCCGGGUGCGUCGCAGCCCCGGACCAAGGCGCCCGCCGGAGGACCAACCAAAACUCUUAUUGUAUACCCCCUCGCGGGUUUUUUUAUAAUCUGAGCCUUCUCGGCGCCCCUCGUGGGCGUUUCGAAAAUGAAUCAAAACUUUCAACAACGGAUCUCUUGGUUCUGGCAUCGAUGAAGAACGCAGCGAAAUGCGAUAAGUAAUGUGAAUUGCAGAAUUCAGUGAAUCAUCGAAUCUUUGAACGCACAUUGCGCCCGCCAGUAUUCUGGCGGGCAUGCCUGUCCGAGCGUCAUUUCAACCCUCGAACCCCUCCGGGGGGUCGGCGUUGGGGAUCGGCCCUCCCUCUGCGGGGGCCGUCUCCGAAAUCCAGUGGCGGUCUCGCCGCAGCCUCUCCUGCGCAGUAGUUUGCACACUCGCACCGGGAGCGCGGCGCGUCCACAGCCGUUAAACACCCAACUUUCUGAAAUGUUGACCUCGGAUCAGGUAGGAAUACCCGCUGAACUUAAGCAUAUCAU